AACUCUUAGCAAUGGAUCACUUGGCUUGUGCGUCAAUGAAGAACACAGCUAGCUGUGAAAAUUAAUGUGAAUUGCAGGAUACAUUGAUCAUCGACACUUUGAACGCGCUUGCGGCCCCUGGUGUUUUUUGUCAUUACAACCAUAUGUAUUUGAUAUACA
Molecule: ribosomal RNA, 159 nt
Filed under: Sphenodon punctatus (tuatara)
Lineage: Eukaryota; Metazoa; Chordata; Lepidosauria; Sphenodontia; Sphenodontidae
Description: 5.8S ribosomal RNA (ENSSPUG00000006474.1)
Rfam family: 5.8S ribosomal RNA
About the family: 5.8S ribosomal RNA (5.8S rRNA) is a component of the large subunit of the eukaryotic ribosome. It is transcribed by RNA polymerase I as part of the 45S precursor that also contains 18S and 28S rRNA.
Source: Rfam by way of RNAcentral